UCAAGCUAAUAAGAGCGCAAGGGGAAUGCCUUGGCAUCAGGAGCCGAUGAAGGACGUGAUAAGCUGCGAAAAGCUUCGGGGAGCUGCAAAUAAGCAUUGAUCCGGAGAUGUCCGAAUGGGGAAACCCACCUGAGCAAACCUCAGGUAACGCAUGGUGAAUCAAAUAGCCAUGCGUGGGGAACCGCCUGAACUGAAACAUCUAAGUAGGGCGAGGAAAAGUAAUCAACCGAGAUUCCGAAAGUAGUGGCGAGCGAAAUCGGAAGAGGCCAAACCGUACGUAGCAAUAUGUGCGGGGUUGUGGACGGCAAUGUCGGUAAGCUUCGUUAGACGAAUGGUCUGGGAAGGCCAGUCAAAGAGUGUGAGAGCCACGUAGUCGAAAAUGAAGCGAACGUAGCCGGAUCCAGAGUACCGCGGGGCACGAGGAAUCCCGUGGGAAGCCGGGGGGACCACCCUCCAAGCCUAAAUACUACCUGAUGACCGAUAGAGGAGCAGUACCGUGAGGGAAAGGUGAAAAGCACCCCGGGAGGGGAGUGAAACAGUACCUGAAACCUUGUGCUUACAAGCAGACAUAGCCCGUUAAAGGGUGGUGUCGUACUUUUUGUAGAACGGUCCGGCGAGUUAUAGUAACUGGCGAGCUUAAGGUAUUCAGUACCGGAGGCGAAGGGAAACCGAGUGUGAAGAGCGCGUGAAGUCAGUUGCCAUAGACCCGAAACCAGGUGACCUAGCCAUGUCCAGGAUGAAGUGGAGGUAAAGCUCCAUGGAGGUCCGAACCCACGUACGUUGCAAUGUCCGGGGAUGAGGUGUGGCUAGCGGUGAAAUUCCAAACGAACUUGGAGAUAGCUGGUUCUCCCCGAAAUAGCUUUAGGGCUAGCGUAGGUAAUGAGUUUCACGGAGGUAAAGCACUGUCUGAGCUAGGGGGCGAUAAGCUUACUGAACUCUAACAAACUAAGAAUGCCGUAGAAAUGCUUACCUGCAGUCAGACUGCGAGUAAUAAAAUCCGUGGUCAAAAGGGAAACAGCCCAGACCCACAGCUAAGGUCCCAAAUAUACGCUAAGUGGAAAACGAUGUGAGAUUGCAUAAACAACCAGGAUGUUGGCUUAGAGGCAGCCACUCGUUCAAAGAGUGCGUAAUAGCUCACUGGUCGAGUGAUCUUGCGCGGAAAAUUUAACGGGGCUAAGCGUAUAACCGAAGCUUGGGAAUGUCGAAAGACAUUGGUAGGGGAGCGUCGUGUAUGGGGUGAAGUCGCAUCGGAAGGAGCGGUGGACUGUACACGAGUGAGAAUGCCGGAAUGAGUAGCGAGAAUUAUGUGGGAAUCAUAAUGGCCGAAAAUCUAAGGUUUCUUGGGGAAGGUUCGUCCGCCCAAGGUAAGCCGGGAGCUAAGGCGAGGCCGAAAGGCGUAGUCGAUGCACAUACGGUUGAAAUUCCGUAGCCACCUUAUCGAUAAAAGCUGACACAUAGAGAUAGCCGAACCCGGGCGUUGGUUGACCCGGGCGAAAGGGACCGAACUACAGUAGGGAAGUCGGCGAUGCUCUGUGGCGAGAAAAGGCGAAGAUAGGGUGCCCGUACCGCAAACCGACACAGGUAGAUGAGGAGAGAAUCCUAAGGCCAACGGGAGAAAGGUUGUUAAGGAACUCGGCAAAAUUGCCCCGUAACUUCGGGAGAAGGGGCGCCCUCGAAAGAGGGCCGCAGUGAAAAGGCCCAAGCGACUGUUUACCAAAAACACAGGUCUCUGCUAAAUCGAAAGAUGACGUAUAGGGGCUGACGCCUGCCCGGUGCUGGAAGGUUAAGAGGAGAUGUUAGCCGCAAGGCGAAGCAUUGAAUCGAAGCCCCAGUAAACGGCGGCCGUAACUAUAACGGUCCUAAGGUAGCGAAAUUCCUUGUCAGGUAAGUUCUGACCCG
Molecule: ribosomal RNA, 1899 nt
Filed under: human gut metagenome
Description: bacterial LSU rRNA
Rfam family: Bacterial large subunit ribosomal RNA
Source: RNAcentral